AAACAUUUAAACGUGUUAACCCUCGCAAGGCUGCAGGCCCAGACGGCAUCCCCGGCCGCGUCCUCAGAGCAUGCGCAGACCAGCAGGCUGGUGUGUUUACAGACAUAUUCAAUCAAUCCUUAUACCAGUCUGCUGUCCCUACAUGCUUCAAGAGGGCCACCAUUGUUCGUGUUCCCAAGAAAGCGAAGGUAACUGAGCUAAAUGACUACCGCCCUGCAGCACUCACUUCCGUCAUCAGGAAGUGCUUUGAGACACUAGUCAAGGACCAUAUCACCUCCACCCUACCUGACACCCUAGACCCACUCCAAUUUGCUUACCGACCCAAUAGGUCCACAGACGACGCAAUCGCCAUCACACUGCAUACUGCCCUAACCCAUGUGGACAAGAGGAAUACCUAUGUAAGAAUGCUGUUCAUCGAUUACAGCUCAGCAUCUAACACCAUAGUACCCUCCAAACUCGUCAUUAAGCUCUAGACCCUGGGUCUCGACCCCGCCCUGUGCAACUGGGUCCUGGACUUCUUGACGGGCCUCCCCCAGGUGGUGAGGGUAGGUAACAACAUCUCCACCCCGCUGAUCCUCAACACUGGUCCCCACAAGGGUGUGUUCUCAGCCCUCUUCUGUACUCCCUGUUCACCCACGACUGCGUGGCCAUGCACGCAUCCAACUCAAUCAUCAAGUUUGCAGACGACACUACAGUAGUAGGCUUGAUUACCAACAAUGACGAGACGGCCUACAGGGAGGAGGUGAGGGCCCUCGGAGUGUGGUGUCAGGAAAAUAACCUCGCACUCAAUGUCAAUAAAACAAAAGAGAUGAUCGUGGACUUCAGGAAACAGCAGAGGGAGCAGCCCCCUAUCUACAUUGACGGGACAGUAGUGGAGAGGGUGGAGAGUUUUAAGUUCCUCGGCGUACACAUCACGGACAAACUGAAAUGGUCCACCCACACAGACAGCGUGGUGAAGAAGGCGCAGCAGCGCCUCUUCAACCUCAGGAGGCUGAAGAAAUUCGGCUUGUCACCAAAAACACUCACAAACUUUUACAGAUGCACAAUCGAGAGCAUCCUGUCGGGCUGUAUCACCGCCUGGUACGGCAGCUGCUCCGCCCAUAACCGGAAGGCUCUCCAGAGGGUAGUGAGGUCUGCACAACGCAUCACCGGGUGCAAACUACCUGCCCUCCAGGACACCUACACCACCCAAUGUCACAGGAAGGCCAAAAAGAUAAUCAAGGAUAGCAACCACCCGAGCCACUGCCUGUUCACCCCGCUAACAUCCAGAAGGUGAGGUGGUGGAGUUCAUCGUGGCCAACCCGCAUAGGGCCUGUGUGGGUAUGGACCAGGUCUGGGGUGUUGAGGGGCCAGUGGAGACCAAGACCCUCAGCAUGGGAAUGGGCCUGAUGGCCACCCUGCUCUCAGGACCCUCAUUGUUGAGUGCUGAGGACUACUCAGCAAUGCCAAGGCUCCUCCCACCCUUGGAGGAGAUUUCCCAGAGGCACCCUGAGGUGGUGAUCCAGGAUCUGGCAGACCACCGCCAUCACCACACGGGGCAUACCACCCUGACAACGUGACGUGAGCAGCUACAUACCAAAACGGACAAUAACAUCCCUUCUGAGAAGAACCUAAACAUCCAGCGUCCCCAAACAAGUCACUCAAACUAGACUCCCCUCACCCACCUCUCAUUCCAACCACAGCACACACACUUCUCAAACACCUAACACACCAGCCC
Molecule: long non-coding RNA, 1717 nt
Filed under: Salmo salar (Atlantic salmon)
Lineage: Eukaryota; Metazoa; Chordata; Actinopteri; Salmoniformes; Salmonidae
Description: lncRNA (ENSSSAG00000099061.1)
Source: RNAcentral